This 374-nucleotide ribosomal RNA is filed under the name uncultured organism. Its description in RNAcentral is "partial 16S ribosomal RNA". It matches the Rfam family "Bacterial small subunit ribosomal RNA", at positions 527 to 896 of the family's 1533-position model. The record is from RNAcentral.
GUAGGUGGCAAGCGUUGUCCGGAAUUAUUGGGCGUAAAGCGCGCGCAGGUGGUUCUUUAAGUCUGAUGUGAAAGCCCCCGGCUCAACCGGGGAGGGUCAUUGGAAACUGGGGAACUUGAGUGCAGGAGAGGAAAGUGGAAUUCCACGUGUAGCGGUGAAAUGCGUAGAUAUGUGGAGGAACACCAGUGGCGAAGGCGACUUUCUGGCCUGUAACUGACACUGAGGCGCGAAAGCGUGGGGAGCAAACAGGGAUUAGAUACCCUGGUAGUCCACGCCGCAAACGAUGAGUGCUAAGUGUUGGGGGGGGUUUCCGCCCCCUCAGUGCUGCAGCUAACGCAUUAAGCACUCCGCCUGGGAGUACGGUCGCAAGACUG